GCCUGGGUGGCUCGGUCGGUUAAGCGUCUGACUUUGGCUCAGGUUAUGAUCUCGCGGUCCGUGGGUUCAAGCCCCUCAUCAGGCU
Molecule: transfer RNA, 85 nt
Filed under: Felis catus (domestic cat)
Lineage: Eukaryota; Metazoa; Chordata; Mammalia; Carnivora; Felidae
Rfam family: tRNA
About the family: Transfer RNA (tRNA) molecules are approximately 80 nucleotides in length. Their secondary structure includes four short double-helical elements and three loops (D, anti-codon, and T loops).
Source: Rfam by way of RNAcentral